Lepus europaeus (European hare) is the source of this 3492-nucleotide long non-coding RNA. RefSeq lists it as uncharacterized. The record is from RefSeq and is a predicted model, not a curated record. NCBI's taxonomy places the organism in Eukaryota, Metazoa, Chordata, Mammalia, Lagomorpha, Leporidae. The transcript is spliced from 3 exons.
GUCCAGGCGGCCAGGACGAAGAGGGCCAGGUAGCGGCGGCGGGCUACUGGCGGCGGCCCGGCAUGGGGACGACGCCAGCGGCGAACGAAGGACGCACUCUCUGCAUGGCCCAUGUCCCGUGACCACGUUUGGACCAAAGACCUGUGUGCUGCAGAACCCCCAGACCAUCAUAUACAGAGCAGACAUUUGCCUAUUCUUCCUGCUAUGUCCAGUCGAGCACCCUGGAUGUGAUGUGAGACAAGCACAGGAAGACUGCUUGGUGAAGAGGGGAGGCAGACAAGCUGAGAGCCCUGAGACCCAAGGAACAACACAGUGCUGACUUCUGCAGGCUUCCUCUGUGCUUCAUACAUCCUGAUGUGGAGCUGAAGAAACUGGCAACUAGAAAUGCCAAGGGAUGCAGAACUCCCCCUGCUCUCUUAAAAAGGGAAAAACUCAAAAGAUCAAGAAAGGUGAACCUCAGCAAGGCAGAAAACUUAAUCAACAACCAUACCCCAGCCAAACAUCACCCUAUUCACAACCACACAGAACACUGAAAAGAGGCAUCCCACACCCCACCUCACGUGGCUUCAGAACAGUCAAGCAGGAAGGCAGGAUUUUCCUUCUCACUGGAUGGGUACCCACCCCGUCCCCUCCUCCCUCAGUGACGUCAGUGAAAAUCAUGUCCGGCACGGACAUUUACCUCAGUCCAUCAGUAACGAAGCAACAGAUUUCUCAUCAGCAACAAGACAGUGGAUUUCCCAUCAGAACCUGUAGAGGCUGGAAACAAGUGGAAGAGCUCUUGAGAGCUAAAAGAAAAGAGCUAUCAACCCAGAAUCUUAUAUCCAACAAUAACAUCCUUUAGGAACAAAGGGACAAUGAAAAACAUUCUCAGACAAGAGAAGGCAGAGAGAAUUUGCUGCCAAGGGAUGUGCUAUGGUUUGGACCUUAGCUUAGGUGUUCUGGAAAGGUCCAUAUGUAAGACAUGGCCUUCAGAGUCUUAGGUUAAUGGUCCAAAGAGGGUGGAAACUUGAUCCAAUUAAGGUGUUUAGAAAUGGGACCUUCAGACAUGAUCUUAUUGGACCAGGUUGUUGGGGCAGGGUCUCCAUGGCUGAAUCAUGGUGAACAUAAAGACGGACCCAGCCAGAUAUGUGUUCUUUCUAGCCAUGUGAUACCUGGGGACAGUACCAGCAAGAAUGCCAUCACCAGACACCAAAACAACAGGGACACCUGAUUUUGGCCUGUGAAAUCUCCAAGACCAUGAGCCAAAAUAAACCUCCUUCCCUCCUAAGUAGCUUGUCUUCAGUAUUUUGUUGCAACCAUAGACAGCUGACUAACACAGAAUAGAUGAAGGAAGCUUUCUAGACACUAAGGAAGCAAUAUAAAGAAGGACUCUUGGAACACUGACAAAGAAAGAACAUGGCAAGCAAUAAUAUGUUUAGGUAUGAUAGCCUUUCCUUUUCCUUUUGAAUUUUCUCAAUUCUGUCUAAUGAUUGAAGCAAAAGUUGCUGUAAGAUUGUCUGAUGUGGCUUCAAAAUAUGUGUAGAUGAAAUAUUUAAGGCAAUUAUGAAUAGGUGAAGGCAAAAUGACAUCUAUGGAGAUAAAACAUCUACAUUCCUUUCAUUAAAACUGAUAAAUGAUGACAAAAGGGACUGUGAUAAACAACCACCUAAAAAUCUAUAGAGAUGCCCUCAAAGACAUGACAGGUAUGUUGAAAUACUAAACAAAAUGUUUAAGUAAUCCAGACAGGGAAAAAAAAGACAGGGAAAAAAUAGAAAAACAAAAGGUAAACCCUAACAUACAUAAUUAUUAUAAAUGUCAUUUAUCUGAAUACAGCAAUCAAAAAACAGAUAUGGGCAGAGUAGGUUAAAACCAUGAACCAACUCUGCUAACACACACACACACUGUACAUGUCAUAACUCACUUUAAAUGAUACAGCAAGUCAAAAGUAAGAGGAUGGAAUAAGAUACAUCACACAUGCAUUAAUUAAAAUAAAGUAAGAUAUAUUAAGAUCAAAUAAAUAGAAAAACAUUUCAAAGCAAAGAAAAUAACCAGAGACAGAGAAGGAAAUUAAGACAAUGACAAAUUAAAUCCACCAAGAUGGCUCAGCAAUCCUAAAUGUAUAUGAACGAAACAACUUAGCUGAAAAAAAUAUGUGAAGCAAAAGUAGAACUGAAAUGAGAAACAGAAAAAUCCACAUUUCAAUAUUCUUCUCUCAACAAGAUCAGAAAAUCAAUAAAAUUAAAAACAAUAGAAAAAAAUCUAUGAAACCAAGAGCUGGUUCUCUGAAAAGAUCUAUGAAUUCAACAAGUAAGACUGACAACAAAAAAGAGAAAACAGAAAUGACCAGUAUCAUAAAGGAAUCAGGGUAUCACUACAGACUGUGUAGACAUCAAAAGAGUGGUGAGAGCACACUACAACCAACUCUACACACAUAAGUGUGUCAACAAAUUGAAACAGAUCACUUCCUCAAAAACCACAACUGUCAUAAUUUACCCAAUAUGACACAGAUAAUUUGGACAGCCCCAUAACUACUAAGGAAAUUGAAUUUAAGACUUAAUACAAAGCUACAGUAAUUAAGGCUGUGGGAGGCUGGCACUGUGCUGCAGGGGGUUAAAGCCCCAGCCUGCAGCACCAGCAUCCCAUAUGGGUGCUGUUCGAAUCUGGCUGCUCCUCUUCUGAUCUAGCUCCCUGUUAACAUGCCUGGGAAAAGCAUCAGAUGAUGGCCCAAGUCCUUGGGCCCCUACACCCAUGUGAGAGACCAGGAAUAAGCUCCUGGCUCCUGGCUCCUGGCUUCAGGUUGUCUCAGCUCUGGCCAUUGUGGAUAUGUGGGGAGUGAGCCAGCAGAUGGAAGACCUCUCUCUCUGUCUGUUUCUAUCUCUCUCUGUCUUUCAAAUAAAGGAAAAAAAAACUGCAGUUCUCGUGAAGUGAUAGACAUUCGAUCAAUGCAACAGAAUACAGAAUCACAGAACAGUACCACACAAAUAUGCCCAUUCAGAUUUUUGGCAAAGGUGUGAAAGCAAUUAAAUGGUGGGAAAAACAGCCAUUUCAACAAAUAAUGCCAUACAGAAUGCCAGUGCUGCAGGUGGAGGACUAGCCUACUGUGCCAUGGCGCCAGUCCCUGUAGUCCUUUAUUUUAAAAAAUGACUCAUUUUUUCUGAUUAUAAAAGUUCAUGUCCAUUGUAGAGAAUUUGUAAACUAUGGAUUAUACAAAGAAGAAAUUCAUAUAUUACAUAAAUACCACAACUCUGAGAACUGGGGCUUUUUCAUGUAUUUCUUUCUGAUGUUCAUGUGUGUGUGUACAUAUUUAAGAAAUGGAAUGAUACUUUUAUAUACUGCUGUUUAGUAUUUCACAUACUAACAUAAAUACUUCCCCAAGACAAUAAAUAUUCCUCAACCACAGAAUCUAUAAUGAUUAUAUAACAUUUCAUUGUGGGGCUACCUCACAAUUUAAUUAGUGUCCUACAAUUGGACAUUCUAUUCUUUCUAAAUUUGUGUUAUCAUUUUAUAACUUUC